UCACUUGUGGGGGGAUUAGUGGCGAACGGGUGAGUAACACGUGAGUAACCUGCCCUUGACUCUGGGAUAAGCCUGGGAAACCGGGUCUAAUACUGGAUACGACCUUCUGGCGCAUGCCAUGUUGGUGGAAAGCUUUUGUGGUUUUGGAUGGACUCGCGGCCUAUCAGCUUGUUGGUGGGGUAAUGGCCUACCAAGGCGACGACGGGUAGCCGGCCUGAGAGGGUGACCGGCCACACUGGGACUGAGACACGGCCCAGACUCCUACGGGAGGCAGCAGUGGGGAAUAUUGCACAAUGGGCGCAAGCCUGAUGCAGCGACGCCGCGUGAGGGAUGAAGGCCUUCGGGUUGUAAACCUCUUUCAGUAGGGAAGAAGCUGGCCUUUUGGGUUGGUGACGGUACCUGCAGAAGAAGCGCCGGCUAACUACGUGCCAGCAGCCGCGGUAAUACGUAGGGCGCAAGCGUUAUCCGGAAUUAUUGGGCGUAAAGAGCUCGUAGGCGGUUUGUCGCGUCUGCCGUGAAAGUCCGGGGCUUAACUCCGGAUCUGCGGUGGGUACGGGCAGACUAGAGUGCAGUAGGGGAGACUGGAAUUCCUGGUGUAGCGGUGAAAUGCGCAGAUAUCAGGAGGAACACCGAUGGCGAAGGCAGGUCUCUGGGCUGUAACUGACGCUGAGGAGCGAAAGCAUGGGGAGCG
RNAcentral lists this ribosomal RNA (691 nucleotides) under Arthrobacter sp. MJS43. RNAcentral describes it as "bacterial SSU rRNA". It matches the Rfam family "Bacterial small subunit ribosomal RNA", at positions 76 to 770 of the family's 1533-position model. Lineage: Bacteria; Bacillati; Actinomycetota; Actinomycetes; Micrococcales; Micrococcaceae. The record is from RNAcentral.